ACUCUCAACAAUGGAUAUCUCAACUCUCGCAUCGAUGAAGAAUGUACUAAAAUGUGAUACAUGGUGUGAAUUGUAGAAUCCCAUGAACCAUUGAGUCUUUGAAUGCAAGUUGUGUUGUAAGCCAUUAGGCCAAGGGCACGCCUGCCUGGGUGUCAUGCAUUGUCUCCCCCUCUAAACCCCCACCCAUUAUGCUCUAUAGUAAGGGGCUGAAAAUUACCCCUCAUGAUCUCAUCGAUCGUGGUUGGCCCAAAAAUGAGUCCCCAACAAUGAUAGCAUCAUGAUCAUUGAUGGUAAAGCUCUUGACAUGCCUCGACUUUGGUGACGCAUGCUCAUUGUCCAUCUAGACCCCAUUGGACCCCUCACAUCACUUGAUUGAUGCUAGUAUCAUGACCCCAGGUCAAGUAGGAUUACCUAAUGAAUUUAAGCAUAUCAAUAUACAGAAAAAAAAAACUUACCAAGAUUCCCCUAGUAAUAACAAGCGAACUAGAAAGAGCCCAGCUUGAGAAUCGGGUGCCCAUGGCAUCUAAAUUGUAGUUUACAAAAGUGUCCUCAGUGGUGGACCAAGCCCAAGUCCCCAGGAAAGGGGAACCAGAGAGGUUGAGAGUCCUACUGUGCCUAAACCCUAUCAAACCAUCCAAGGUUGAAUAUGGGUGAGAAACUAAUAAAAAACAUGUAUCACGAGGGAAAGAUGAAAAAAUUUUUGAAAAAAGAGUCAAAGAGUUUUUGAAAUUAUCAAGAAAAAAGUGAAAUGGGGGCCAAUGAUGCAUCUUAGUUAAAUGUGGAACAACGAUAGCCAAUCCGUUGAUCGGCUAGGGCAUGGACCAUUGUGGGUUGUGGCAGUGGCCCAAACCCAAGCUUUCAAUAUGCCUAUGGAGACAUUGUUACCAUGAUUAUAAAAUACAGCACAUGCCAUCUCGACAUGCCUUGACACUCACGUACUCUUGACAUAGGCCUGUAGGUUCCUUAUCUGGCCCAUCUUGAAACAUGGACAAAGAUAACAUAUGUGUGAGUUAAUGGGGUAGAAAACCUAUAAAACACAAAGAAGCUGAUUGGUGGGAUCCCUCAUGAGUGAGCUACUAAUCGACCUUGAUCUUCUGAGAAAGGUUUGAGUGUGAGCAUGCCUAGAAAGACCAAAAAGAUAAGAAACUAUGCCUGAGUGGGACAAAGCCAAAGGAAACUAUGGUGGAGGCCCAUAAUGAUACUAGCAUGUAAAUUGUUCACCUAACUUGGGUAUAGGGGUGAAAGACUAAUCAAACUGUUUAAUAGCUGGUUCCCUUUGAAGUUUUCCUUAGGAUAGUUGAAGCCCUUAGUGAAUUCCAUCAAGUAAAGCUAAUGAUUAGAGGCAUCAAGGCUGCAACACCCUCGACCUAUCUUAAACUUUAAAUAGGUAGGAUGGUGUGACUUCAUUAAGCCAUGCCACGAAAUUGAGAGCUCCAAGUGGGCCAUUUUUGGUAAGCAAAACUGGUGAUGCAGAAUGAACCAGAAGCCAAGUUAUGGUGCCCAACUUUGCACUAACCUAGAACCCAUAAAGUGUGUUGGUUGAUUAAGAUAGCAGAACAGUGGUCAUGAAAGUUGAAAUUUGCUAAAAAGUGUGUAACAACUCACCUACCGAGUCAACUAGCCCUGAAAAUGGAUGACGCUUAAGCACAUGACCUAUACUCGACUAUCAGGGUAAGGGCCAAGCCCAAUGAGUAAGAAAGCACAUGGUUGAUGUAAAACUUAAGGCAUGAGCUCAGGUGGAGCAACGAUCAGUGUAGAUCUUGGCAUUAGUAGUAAAUAUUCAAAUGAAAACUUUGAAGGCCAAAGAGAGGAAAGGUUCCAUGUGAAUGGCACUUGCAUAUAGGUUAGUUGAUCCUAAGAGAUGGGGAAGAUAGUCUAAUAGUGCAUCCAGCACAAGCUUUGAAAGGGAAUAAGGUUAAAAUUCUUGAACUGAGAUACAGUGAUUGAAGGCAAUAUUAAAAAAUCUAGAGACAUUGGUGGGUCUUCAAAAAGAGUUAUCUUUUCUAUUUCAUGGCCUUCCCACCCUGAAAAUGACACAAUUGUAGGUAAGGUCCAGUAGCUAGAUGAGCAACGUAUGUUGCUUAGUGUCUGGUGCACCCUUAGCAACCCUUGAAAAUUUAGAGCACUGAGUGCCAUCCAUGUCCAAUCAUACUCAUAACCACAUCAGGUAUUUAAAGUAAACAACCAUUGGUCAAUGGAACAAUGUAUGCAAUAAAAGUUGGCAAAAUGGAUUCGUAACCUCAAGAAAAGGAUCAGCUUGAGGGCUGUGCAUGGGGGUCCUAUUCCUCAACCCAUCAGCUAUAAAUGCACUAUUGAGCUAUUCCCAUGGCAAGAGCAAGUCACCAUGUGUCGAUCAGGAGCCUUCCCCAAACAAUGAAUAGUCAACUUUGAACUAGUAUGGACUAAGGGAAUCUGACUAUUUAAUUAAAACAAAACAUUGUGAUAGUCCCUACAGAUGCUCACACAAUGUGAUUUUUGCCCAAUGCUUUAAAUGUCAAAGUGAAAAAAUUCAAUCGAGUGUAGGUAAACUGUGGGAGUAAAUUAUUGAUGCGCAUGAAAGGAUUAAUGAGAUUCCCACUAUCCCUGUCUAUUAUCUAGCAAACCUACACCCAAGGGAAUGGGUUUGGCAGAAUCAGCAAGGAAGAAGACCCAAUUGAGCUUAACUCUAGUCUGACAUUGUGAAAUGACUUGAGAGGUGUAGGAUAAGUGGGAGCCCUCAGGUGAAAUUGAAAUACCACUACUUUAAUGCUACUUUACUUAUUUUGUAAAUCAAAGGAAGGACAUGACCCCUUUCUUUUUAUGAAAGAUGAACAAUUGUGAAAGCAUUUACCAAGGAUGUUUUCAUUAAUCAAGAAUGAAAGUUGCAAGCUUGAAGAUGAUCAGAUAUCAUCCUAGUCUUAACCAUAAAUGAUGUCAACCAAGGAUCGAUGGAUGUUACUUUUAGGACUCCAUCGACACCUUAUGAGAAAUCAAAGUCUUUGGGUUCUGGGGGAGCAUGGUUACAAGGCUAAAACUUAAAGGAAUUGAUGGAAGGGCACCACCAAGAGUGCAACCUAUGGCUUAAUUUGACUCAAUACAGGGAAACUUACUAGGUCUAGACAUAGUAAAGAUUGAUAAACUGAGAGCUCUCUCUUGAUUCUAUGGGAGGUGGUGCAUGGUAGUUCUUAGUUGGUGGAUUGAUUUGUCUAGUUAAAUCCAUUAACGAACAAGACCUCAGCUUGUUAACUAGCUAUAUGGAGGUGAUCCUUUGUGGCUAGCUACUUAGAGGGACUAUGGCUACUUAAGCUAAGGAAGUUUAAGACAAUAACAGGUUUGUGAUGCCCUAAGAUGUUCUAGGUUGCACAUGUGUUACACUGAUGUAUUCAAUGAGUCUAUAGCCUUGGCUGACAGGUCUAAGUAAUCUUUCAAAUUUCAUCAUGCUAGGGAUAGUAAGUGCGAGUCAUCAGCUCAUGUUGACUACAUCCUUACCCUUUUUACACACCGCUCAUCCUACUGAUUGAAUGUCUAGUGAAGUGUUUAGAUCAUGGUGACGUGGAUGGUUUGCUACCUGCGACAUCAUGGGAAGUCCACUGAACCUUAUCAUUCAA
Molecule: ribosomal RNA, 3587 nt
Filed under: Durio zibethinus
Lineage: Eukaryota; Viridiplantae; Streptophyta; Magnoliopsida; Malvales; Malvaceae
Description: eukaryotic LSU rRNA
Rfam family: Eukaryotic large subunit ribosomal RNA (bases 388-3587)
Source: RNAcentral